GACGAACGCUGGCGGCGUGCUUAACACAUGCAAGUCGAACGAUGAAGGAGAGCUUGCUCUCCGGAUUAGUGGCGAACGGGUGAGUAACACGUGACUAACCUGCCCCUUUCUCUGGGAUAACGCUCCGAAAGGAGUGCUAAUACCGGAUACGAACUCUGAACAUAUGUUCGGAGUUGGAAAGUUUUUCGGAAAGGGAUGGAGUCGCGGCCUAUCAGCUUGUUGGUGAGGUAACGGCUCACCAAGGCGACGACGGGUAGCCGGCCUGAGAGGGCGACCGGCCACACUGGGACUGAGACACGGCCCAGACUCCUACGGGAGGCAGCAGUGGGGAAUAUUGCACAAUGGGCGAAAGCCUGAUGCAGCGACGCCGCGUGAGGGAUGAAGGUCUUCGGAUUGUAAACCUCUUUCAGUAGGGACGAAGCGAAAGUGACGGUACCUAAAGAAGAAGCACCGGCUAACUACGUGCCAGCAGCCGCAGUAA
Molecule: ribosomal RNA, 481 nt
Filed under: uncultured bacterium
Lineage: Bacteria
Description: partial 16S ribosomal RNA
Rfam family: Bacterial small subunit ribosomal RNA
Source: RNAcentral